RNAcentral lists this long non-coding RNA (281 nucleotides) under Brassica rapa (field mustard). Its description in RNAcentral is "long non-coding RNA (BRAP_LNC000774)". The record is from RNAcentral. Lineage: Eukaryota; Viridiplantae; Streptophyta; Magnoliopsida; Brassicales; Brassicaceae.
GCACCCACAACCAAAUCCACAUUCAUUGCCUCCUUCGUGCCUACUGAGAGUGCUAAGCACUAUCAAUAUCCUCCCACACAUUCAUGUACAUCUUUUCUACUGACUCAUAUAUCCACUAGACUCAAUGUAAAUCAUCACCACUCAUUCUUGAGAUAUAGUUUUCGGCAUGAAAUGGAAAAUUGAGAAAUUAGGGAUAAAUUAAUUUGUGUAGGCUAGAUAAAUUUAGAGAGAGAGAGAGAGAGAGAGAAAGAGUUCAAGAGAGUUUAACCGUUCAAACUACC